This 59-nucleotide transfer RNA is filed under the name Phrynocephalus persicus (Persian toad-headed agama). RNAcentral's name for it is "tRNA-Cys". Lineage: Eukaryota; Metazoa; Chordata; Lepidosauria; Squamata; Agamidae. The record is from RNAcentral.
GACCUAAGGUAAGUACUAAAUUGCAAGUUUAGUCUUGAAAGUAAAUUUUCGUAGGUCUA